This 200-nucleotide ribosomal RNA is filed under the name uncultured bacterium. Its description in RNAcentral is "partial 16S ribosomal RNA". It matches the Rfam family "Bacterial small subunit ribosomal RNA", at positions 8 to 224 of the family's 1533-position model. The record is from RNAcentral.
AGAGUUUGAUCCUGGCUCAGGAUGAACGCUGGCGGCGUGCCUAAUACAUGCAAGUCGAGCGGCAACACGGACUUCGGUCUGGUGGCGAGCGGCGGACGGCUGAGUAACGCGUAGGAACGUACCCCAAACUGAGGGAUAAGCACCAGAAAUGGUGUCUAAUACCGCAUGUGCUCCACGGAGUAAAGCUUCGGCGGUUUGGG